CCCCCCUCUCUCAUCUCCUCCUCCCUCAAACUCUUGCAGCCACCAUCCCACAAACCCUAGCCGCCCCCAUCUCCUCCUCUCCUAGGUGCAGCCCUCCCGCUUGAUCUACAUCGCGUGGGUGCAAAUCUCCAAUUGGAAUUUGGUGGAAGGAAGAAGGAGGGAGGAAAUGGGGAGAAGUCAAGGUGAUUUUGUGAUUAACUCUUGUUUAUUUGUGCUGCAAUUUAAUCGAUUAGAUGUUUACGUAUGCGAAUUGGUAGAGGUGCUGUCCAAAAAAAACAGAUUUGCAGGUGGGCGAACAGCAGUAGUAUUAGCAGUUUCUGGGGAUUUUUCGUGGGUAAUUAGUGAUAAUCAGUAUGAUAAUCAGGUAGAGCUUUGUCAUACCUUUCCAACGAGUACUUAAGCGCUCGAUUCGGAGUUAUAUUUUAGGAGAUAUCGCUGUUUGAAUCCGGGUAUGCUGCUGCCCAAAAAAACAGAUUUGCAGGUGUGCGAACAGCAGUAAUAUUAGCAGUUUCUGGGGAUUUUCGUGGGUAAUUAGUGAUAAUCAGUAUGAUAAUCAUGUAGAGCUUUGUCAUACCUUUCCAACGAGCACUUAUGCGCUUGAUUCGGAGUUAUAUUUUAGGAGAUAUCGCUGUUUGAAUCCGGGUAUGUUGCUGUAAAAAAACAGAUUUGCAGCUGGGCGAACAGCAGUAGUAUUAACAGAUUCUAGGGAUUUUUCGUGGGUAAUUAGUGAUAAUCAGUAUGAUAAUCAUGUAGAGCUUUGUCAUACCUUUCCAACGAGUACUUAUGCGCUCGAUUCGGAGUUAUAUUUUAGGGGAUAUCGUUGUUUGAAUCUGGGUAUGCUGCUGUCCAAAAACAGAUUGCAGGGUUUAUCUUGUGAACUGUUUUGGGCUAAUUAGGGGUUGGAAUUUAGUUAUCAUUUGAAUAUGAAACUUGUGGGUAAUUUUAUGUAAAUGCUUCCAGAGUUUUUUAUUGAUAUCACUGCUGUUAUAAUUUUAAAGUUAUGAAAUUAUCAAACAGCGCCGCUGCAGUUUGGUGGUGAUGGGGAGAGUUGUCGCUCACGACGGGUUGGAAUUGUGCGUAGGUGCGGCAUUGUUUAUUAGCAUUUGUUAUGUUGAUUUGUACACUAAGGUGUGUGUCAAAAAAAGGUGGUGGACUUCUGGAUCGUACUUAGUACCAUAACAAAUUCCCGGUGAAGGCAAGUAAAUACAGUGGUGGUUGCUACCGUUUGGUUUGCAUCCUAUGCCUUGUCAUUGAGUAUGCUUAAGUAUUAAAUGUGUUAAUCAUUGAAUUCUAUGAUGAAGUUUAUUUGUUCGAAAGUAUUAAUUCUCAAUUGUCUAAUAUUGCGGAUGAUCAUGAUUUGGGAAUGAUAUAUGUGGUUGAUUCCCAUCUUGGAUGAAGUUGAAGUAUCUUUUUGAAUCACGUUAUAUGAAGUGUUGUAGGCAUGUCAUGCACAUCGCAUCAUCCAUCUUGCAUGUUGAAGUUAUGUCGUGAUCUUAUGGUCCGACCGUAUCGGUACACUUUUAGCAUCGUACGUUGCCCGAGGAGGGGUACGAUGCGGCUUCAUAUCCUUAGAGGUAUGAAGGCAGAAGUCAUCCUUGCAUUUGCAGACAUUUGCACUCAUAAGGUAUAUAUGAAGUGUGACAUUACUAUGUUACUAUUAUGGUUUCUACCUGCGAGGUGUGGUAACUAGGCGUGCUGUACGUUGUAUUCAUGCUGCACCUUCGUAAUAAGAAGGUUGUGAGAUUAAGUGGUGGUAAAACAAUGUUCUUAUGUGGUUAAACAGUUUGUUAUUAUUUUACUUGCUGAGAUGUGUUAUCUCACUCUUGCAUUACUCAAUGCAGGUACUUGAUACAUGUUGGGAAUUAGGGGAGUAGCAGCACGUCCACUUUCACUCUCAUAAUAACGCUGCCUAGGCGCAGCCAUGAUUUAAUUAGAAACUUGUUGUCAAAGGAUGUUUGUUUUUUAACUAGUCGUGCGCACUGGUUAAUUCAGUUCAUGUCGUAUGUUUAAAUUCCCUUUGCUAGCCGAUUAAUAAUACUUAGUAUGUUUUUUGUCAUGAUAUAUGUUUAUACACGGUUGCCCCCUCAUUUAUGCAAUUUUGCAAACGAGAUGCUGCCGAAAUUUUAUAUACGGAUGUCAGAGGUGUAGUUCAGUGGCAUUCCGGGGUGUUUGUGGAUCCCGGGGUGUUACAGUUGGUAUCAAAGGAUAGGCUUUAGAUUCUACGCAAUUUGAAGAUAAAUUUGACACACUUGCACAUAUAGGAAAGGUAUGAGUUCGUAUAUCUUUCAUAUUAGUAUUUUAUUGUAUAGAUGACUAGAAUUCCCUUACUCCAAAUCCCUUUAUGGUUUGAUGGGAUAUGUCGUUAACGACUUAAUGCUUGAUAUGAUAUGUUACUUCUAUUUAAUAUUGGUUUCUUGAUGUGGUUGUUGUUGAAGUUAUUAUGCAAGUAAAGCUACUAAUGUACUUGUUUUGUACAUAUCGUCAUGAUGUUUUUUUAUGCAAUGUUUUUCAAAUCUCUGAGCUAUUACUAUCAUAUAUUUCUAUAUGCUUGACUAUGGAUGUUUUUUAAUGGAUUUUUUUGGGUCCUAGUAUUUGUAGGACCGAUUGUUUAUUGAGUUUGUGCAUAGUGGGUCUAAUCCGGCUUGGUGUGGUGUGAAAACACUAUAUAAUGUAGUUUUAUCAUGUUGUUGAGUCUGAUUGAAUAUUGGGUUACAACCCAACUUAUCAAUGUAAUAUUUCCAUGGAUGCAAUGCUUUGUGCCUCACUCCUUUGGGCUAAUAUGGCUACUUGCCAACUUGAUCUUAGAGUACAAUAGGUUUGUCUCCAUAGAGCAAAGGCAAUGUUGUACUGUCUAUGAAAUCUUGAGACUGGUAGAACUCAAGUGAAUUUGUAAGAGGACGUGGAUAGAUAAGUUCAACCAUGUUUACAUGAUAGGUUUUCUUGUUGUGUGCAACCUUAUCUUUAACAAUAAAUAGGGUGAUUUCAAGCGAAUUUUAUGUCUAUAUUAUAGUCGAAGAGGCAUGCAUGUUUUCCUCCUAUGGUUUGUUUCUAUAGCCAUAAAUGUUAUGCAUAAUUUUUAUUUGUUGGAGGCUAGUCACGUGGACGAUAUGGACAACCCGUUUUAUAUUUUUUUUAAUCGCCGAUGAUAUAUGGUAAUUUUAUUUUUUUAUGAUCAGUUCUCUAUGCAUGCUUGUUGAAUUAUUAUUUGGACCGCUUUAUCUUAAACAAAGUCAAUGCUUAACUGGAAGUUGCUUAUGUUUGUUAGUCAUCUAUCUCUAUAAUGAUGUGGUUGUUACAUCAGAUGGAGAUUUUUUUCAUAUGAAUGAUGGUUUGGUAGAUCAUGUAUGUCUACUACUUUGAAUUCAUCCUAUGACAUCACGAGGUACAAAUUGUUCAAGUGCAAUAAUAGGAGGUAUUGUUGUAUGUGAGGUUAAUCAAGGUAGUUUGGUUAGGUGGAUUGUCUUAUUGAAGUCCAAUUACUCCUGUUGAGCAUAGUAUCGUGUUAUUAUUUUAGUGCUGAAAGUAAUAUUUAUGAAGCUUUUGCAUGAGUCUGUAUCAAGAAGAACAUUAGUUUUUCUUGUUGUUAUCCCUCCAUUGUUUUAUGAGUGUUGCACAUUUUAUCUCUUUUGAGAGGAGAAAAAAAGACGGUAUAUGGCAUGAGCACCAUUUGCUUCACGUCAACAGAAUAGUUUUGGAGAUUUCUAGUAGUUGGAUUCUUGUGUAACAACAACCAUGUUUUAUAGUGCUUGAGACAGGUAUAUCAGGUGUUUCAUACAUUGCCGAUACAUGGAUGUUUGACCUUAGUGGCAUUAACAAACGAGGUUGUUGAAUUCAUUGAUUGUUGUGCUUAGUGUUCUAACCUAUUUGGUAGAGUGUUAUUUAAAGACUUUGUGGACUUGCAUCCCAGUUUGGUUGUGGAAAAUCCUAGUGUUGAUUGCACCUGCCAAUGCCUUGGGUUUCAUUUUAUAUUGUUUUUUAUUGUUGUUAAUGUGUUGUUUGGUUUCGGGAGGCAUUUUAAAUUAGUUGGAGGCUGAAUCAAGCUUCACUUAUCUAGAAUGUUUUGUAGUAUGUUUCUUCAUAUUUCCAUAGGAUGCUUAAUCACCAUGUUUGGUCUAAACAUUUGAGAGUUAUGGGUUUCUUAAAACAUCCUUUUUGGUGUCUCUGGUAGAAUGAGUCUUUAAUUUUGUAUGGAAGAGUAGACAUUGAAGACGGUAUAAUUUGGUCUUUGUUGGAUUAUGAAAGUUUUAGUAAUUUCAUGAUCUUUCCAAAGAGUUUUGGUUUGUAAUUCUUAUUGCAUAUAAUUGGAGUCAGGCUGCUCGGAAGUUGUUGCACCGUUGUGUCUGAAAUUUAGGUGUCGUUAUAAUCACCAAUAAAUCGACCGCGGUUUGAUAGUUUCAGAGCCCAAAUUUGGGAAUUCUCUUUAAGCAAAACUUUUAGUUCUUCGCAGUACCUUUUAAAUGAGUAUUUACUUGUGAUUGUCUGUUAAAUAGAUUGGGAGAGGUGGUUGUCUGGAUAUAAGUCGAAUCUCUAAUGUGCAGUAUCUCAGGAUGAGUUUAGCUGUACGUCAUGCAGAGUUGAGGGCUAUAAAGAUAAAUUUGGGUGCAACUUUAUUGCAGAAGUCGUGGACAAUUUUCAAACUUUUCCAACGUGUGUUCGUUGUAGUUUAAGUUGAGUAUAGCAGGAGUUAUAGGUUUUUGAAUUUUAGUUGUCCAUUGUUUGAAUCCUAUCAGUUUUGCAACAGAAGUGUUGCAUUGUUUUAUCGGUUUGGAAACCAAUUCCGAGACACUCAUUAUAAUAAAAGUUUUAGGGAAUGUUAUAAUCUUUUCAAUGAGUUUAUAUUUGCAAAAUUUUGUUAGCUGCAGGGAGUUAUGAUAUAAUGUAUAGAAUGUGCUUGGAUGAAUAUGUGGGCAAGCAUAACAUGCUUAAAUUGAUUCUUGUUUGCAUGAUGUGAGAUUAAGCUUAAAUGAUUUAAAAGGUUAUCAUAUUGCUUCUAUACUUAUAUUUGUUCUAAGUGUCUCGUAAUGAAGAACCUAAAGUUAUUAGUCUUUCGAUGAACGCUUAAUCUUAGAAGAGUAAUGAACCUGUUAAAAUCUGUUGCUUGCUGUUGGGACUGCAUGACCAGUUUUAGUUAUGCAACUAGUUCAAUGAAGUAAACCAUCUUUUCUGUAGAGAUGUUAUAUAUAAAAGUUGUAGCCAACUUCUUUAUCUUACUUGUGUAAAAAUUUCAUGAUCAUAGGUCUAGUAGUUUGGGAGUUAUGAUUUUCUCAAGUCCAGUCUUGGAAUCUGUCCAGAUUCUGUACAGACUUCGAAACUGACCUUGUUUGCCCAAUAUAAACUUCGAAUAAGUUCUUAUAAAUUAUAAAUAAGUCGUAGUACUUUUCUUAAUAUUUUCAACAAAUUUUGGAUCACCCUUUUUGGAGAUCUAUAAGUUAAGUUACAGCUGUUUUAAGUGUGAUCUCUGAAUCUGUCCAAAUUUGGACAGUUAUAAAUGAAUUAUAGACAAUUCUAUUAGCUUUCUAAAAAGGCUAGGAGCACCUGAAUUGGUUGACUGAGACUCCAAUUAGGGAUUUUUUGAAUUGAGUAGUUGAAUUCUGUCCAAGUCUGGACAGAAUUUACGUUUAGCAUUGUUUGACCUUUCUAAGUGUCAAAUCUUGUUGUGAUGAUAAUACCAAGGGUAUAGUGGACUUUAUAAGAUUUCCAUAAAGUCCUAGUCUACUAUUUUUGGAUGCAUAUUUUGUGAGUUAUGAGCAAAACAAUUAACAAUUGUGCUGCUGUCCAGAAAUAUGCAAGCAUUAAGUUGCUCUCUUGAAGUUGCUCUUGUUUGGCUAAGUUUGGUUUAGGCUAUAGGAACACUAUAUGCAUUGCAUUCAUAUAUACAUUCCUUGAAGUACUUGCAUAUGUCAAUGUUGAUUUGGUGUCAGGAAAGCUUUGUCCGAGGUAUAUAGGACUGUCUACUAUCUUAGCCGAGUUGGUAGCUGGGCUUAGCACAUGCAAUUGUCGGAAUCUAUUAUCAGAGUACACCAUGUAUUCCAUGUCUUUAUGUUGAGGAAGUAUUUGAGGAAUCUAGACCAUCAAAUCGAGCUAGAGCUAAUUCCCGUGUAGCAAGACCAGACUCUAGAGUGUCGUCUGCUGCGUAUCUUAGAAUCCUAGGAGCUUGAGGAGCUGAUGCGACAGAAGUACCCGGACUUUUCGUUACGUGUGAGUUUUGUUGAUUCAUUAAUCUUUCUUGUGUCGUUCUGAUAGAAGCGUCGGAAUUCGAGGUCGAAUUCUUUUUAAGGGGGGUAGAGUGUGAUACCCAAUUUUCAAAAAAAGAAGAGAUAUUGAAGAUUAUUCUUUUUUUCUUUGUUUUCUCUUCCGGGUCCUGUGCUACAGGGGUUUGGAAUUUUUGGGAAGCAUUCACCAGUAAAACAGUAGAAUUUUUUAUUAGACUCAUGCGCUAGGGUUGGGAGCUGUGGUGUGAGCGAGUUGGGCCGUGAAACUCGAUCCGGCCCACUAGCCCCCCCCUAACCCUAGCCGCCCUCCCUCUAAUCCCCUCCCCCUUGUGCAGCCGCCCCCCUCUCUCUAGCCUUUGUGCAGCCGCCCCCUCUCUCAUCUCCUCCUCCCUCAAACUCUUGCAGCCACCAUCCCACAAACCCUAGCCGCCCCCCAAUCUCCUCCUCUCCUAGGUGAAGCCCUCCCGCUUGAUCUACGUCGCGUGGGUGCAAAUCUCCAAUUGGAAUUUGGUGGAAGGAAGAAGGAGGGAGGAAAGGGGGAGAAGUCAAGGUGAUUUUGUGAUUAACUCUUGUUUAUUUGUGCUGCAGUUCAAUCGAUUAGAUGUUUACGUAUGCGAAUUGGUAGAGGUGCUGUCCAAAAAAACAUAUUUGCAGGUGGGCGAACAGCAGUAGUAUUAGCCGUUUUUGGGGAUUUUUCUUGGGUAAUUAGUGAUAAUCAGUAUGAUAAUCAUGUAGAGCUUUGUUAUACCUUUCCAAUGAGUAUUUAUGCGCUCGAUUCGGAGUAAUAUUUUAGGAGAUAUUGCUGUUUGAAUCCGGGUAUGUUGCUGUCCAAAAAAACAGAUUUGCACGUGGGCGAACAGCAGUAAUAUUAGCAGUUUCUGGGAAUUUUUAGUGGGUAAUUAGUGAUAAUCAGUAUGAUAAUCAUGUAGAGCUUUGUCAUACCUUUCCAACGAGCACUUAUGCGCUCGAUUCGGAGUUAUAUUUUAGGAGAUAUCGCUGUUUGAAUCCGGGUAUGUUGCUGUCCAAGAAACAGAUUUGCAGGUGGGCGAACAGCAGUAGUAUUAGCCGUUUCUGGGGAUUUUUCGUGGGUAAUUGAUGAUAAUCAGUAUGAUAAUCAUGUAAAGCUUUGUCAUACCUUUCCAACGAGUACUUAUGCGCUCGAUUCGGAGUUAUAUUUUAGGGGAUAUCGCUGUUUGAAUCCGGGUAUGCUGCUGUCCAAAAACAGAUUGCAGUGUUUAUCUUGUGGACUAUUUUGGGCUAAUUAGGGGUUGGAAUUUAGUUAUCAUUUGAAUAUAAAACUUGUAGGGAAUUUUAUGUAAAUGCUUCCAGAGUUUUUGAUUGAUGUCACUUCUGUUAUAAUUUUAAAUUUAUGAAAUUAUCAAACAGCGCCGCUGCAGUUUGGUGGUGAUGGGGAGAGUUGUUGCUCGCGACGGGUUGGAAUUGUGCGUUGGUGCGGCGUUGUUUAUUAGCGUUUGUUAUGUUAAUUUGUACACUAAAGUGUGUGUCAAAAACAGGUGGUGGACUUCCGGAUUGUACUUAGUACCAUUCCAAAUUCCCGGUGAAG
RNAcentral lists this long non-coding RNA (7776 nucleotides) under Zea mays. RNAcentral's name for it is "long non-coding RNA (ZMAY_LNC000861)". Lineage: Eukaryota; Viridiplantae; Streptophyta; Magnoliopsida; Poales; Poaceae. The record is from RNAcentral.